UAGGGAAUCUUCCGCAAUGGGCGAAAGCCUGACGGAGCAACGCCGCGUGAGUGAUGAAGGUCUUCGGAUCGUAAAACUCUGUUAUUAGGGAAGAACAAAUGUGUAAGUAACUAUGCACGUCUUGACGGUACCUAAUCAGAAAGCCACGGCUAACUACGUGCCAGCAGCCGCGGUAAUACGUAGGUGGCAAGCGUUAUCCGGAAUUAUUGGGCGUAAAGCGCGCGUAGGCGGUUUUUUAAGUCUGAUGUGAAAGCCCACGGCUCAACCGUGGAGGAUCAUUGGAAACUGGAAAACUUGAGUGCAGAAGAGGAAAGUGGAAUUCCAUGUGUAGCGGUGAAAUGCGCAGAGAUAUGGAGAAACACCAGUGGCGAAGGCGACUUUCUGGUAUGUAACUGACGCUGAUGAGCGAAAGCAUGGUGAUCAAACAGG
This 429-nucleotide ribosomal RNA is filed under the name Actinomycetes bacterium. Its description in RNAcentral is "Actinobacteria bacterium partial 16S ribosomal RNA". It matches the Rfam family "Bacterial small subunit ribosomal RNA", at positions 355 to 776 of the family's 1533-position model. Lineage: Bacteria; Bacillati; Actinomycetota; Actinomycetes. The record is from RNAcentral.